AAAUUGAAGAGUUUGAUCAUGGCUCAGAUUGAACGCUGGCGGCAGGCCUAACACAUGCAAGUCGAACGGUAACAGGAAGCAGCUUGCUGCUUUGCUGACGAGUGGCGGACGGGUGAGUAAUGUCUGGGAAACUGCCUGAUGGAGGGGGAUAACUACUGGAAACGGUGGCUAAUACCGCAUAACGUCGCAAGACCAAAGAGGGGGACCUUAGGGCCUCUUGCCAUCAGAUGUGCCCAGAUGGGAUUAGCUAGUUGGUGAGGUAACGGCUCACCAAGGCGACGAUCCCUAGCUGGUCUGAGAGGAUGACCAGCCACACUGGAACUGAGACACGGUCCAGACUCCUACGGGAGGCAGCAGUGGGGAAUAUUGCACAAUGGGCGCAAGCCUGAUGCAGCCAUGCCGCGUGUAUGAAGAAGGCCUU
This 421-nucleotide ribosomal RNA is filed under the name Salmonella enterica. RNAcentral's name for it is "bacterial SSU rRNA". It matches the Rfam family "Bacterial small subunit ribosomal RNA", at positions 1 to 418 of the family's 1533-position model. The record is from RNAcentral. Lineage: Bacteria; Pseudomonadati; Pseudomonadota; Gammaproteobacteria; Enterobacterales; Enterobacteriaceae.